RNAcentral lists this ribosomal RNA (253 nucleotides) under uncultured bacterium. RNAcentral describes it as "partial 16S ribosomal RNA". It matches the Rfam family "Bacterial small subunit ribosomal RNA", at positions 524 to 776 of the family's 1533-position model. The record is from RNAcentral.
UACGUAGGGUGCAAGCGUUGUCCGGAAUUAUUGGGCGUAAAGAGCUCGUAGGCGGUUUGUCGCGUCUGCUGUGAAAACUCGGGGCUUAACCCCGGGCCUGCAGUGGGUACGGGCAGACUAGAGUGCGGUAGGGGAGACUGGAAUUCCUGGUGUAGCGGUGAAAUGCGCAGAUAUCAGGAGGAACACCGGUGGCGAAGGCGGGUCUCUGGGCCGAUACUGACGCUGAGGAGCGAAAGCAUGGGUAGCGAACAGG